CCUACGGGUGGCUGCAGUGGGGAAUAUUGGACAAUGGGGGCAACCCUGAUCCAGCCAUGCCGCGUGUGUGAAGAAGGCCCUCGGGUUGUAAAGCACUUUCAGUGAGGAAGAACGCCUGGUGGUUAAUACCCAUCAGGAAAGACAUCACUCACAGAAGAAGCACCGGCUAACUCCGUGCCAGCAGCCGCGGUAAUACGGGGGGUGCGAGCGUUAAUCGGAAUUACUGGGCGUAAAGCGCGCGUAGGUGGCUUGAUAAGCCGGUUGUGAAAGCCCCGGGCUCAACCUGGGAACGGCAUCCGGAACUGUCAAGCUAGAGUGCAGGAGAGGAAGGUAGAAUUCCCGGUGUAGCGGUGAAAUGCGUAGAGAUCGGGAGGAAUACCAGUGGCGAAGGCGGCCUUCUGGACUGACACUGACACUGAGGUGCGAAAGCGUGGGUAGCAAACAGGAUUAGAUACCCUUGUAGUC
RNAcentral lists this ribosomal RNA (465 nucleotides) under Vreelandella stevensii. RNAcentral describes it as "partial 16S ribosomal RNA". It matches the Rfam family "Bacterial small subunit ribosomal RNA", at positions 338 to 795 of the family's 1533-position model. Lineage: Bacteria; Pseudomonadati; Pseudomonadota; Gammaproteobacteria; Oceanospirillales; Halomonadaceae. The record is from RNAcentral.